GUGGGGAAUCUUCCGCAAUGGACGAAAGUCUGACGGAGCAACGCCGCGUGAGUGAAGAAGGUUUUCGGAUCGUAAAGCUCUUUCGUUAGGGACGAACGUGCUCUUUGUGAAUAAUGAGGAGUAAUGACGGUACCUAAAUAAGAAGCCACGGCUAACUACGUGCCAGCAGCCGCGGUAAUACGUAGGUGGCAAGCGUUGUCCGGAAUUAUUGGGCGUAAAGCGCGCGCAGGCGGGAUAUCAAGUCUGUCUUAAAAGUGCGAGGCUCAACCUCGUGAGGGGACAGAAACUGGUAUUCUUGAGUGUCGGAGAGGAAAGUGGAAUUCCAAGUGUAGCGGUGAAAUGCGUAGAGAUUUGGAAGAACACAAGUGGCGAAGGCGACUUUCUGGACGAUGUCUGACGCUGAGGCGCGAAAGCUAGGGGAGCGAACGGGAUUAGAAACCCGGGUAGUCC
Molecule: ribosomal RNA, 450 nt
Filed under: uncultured bacterium
Lineage: Bacteria
Description: partial 16S ribosomal RNA
Rfam family: Bacterial small subunit ribosomal RNA
Source: RNAcentral